UUAAUGGGUGAUGGCGUGCCUUUUGUAGAAUGAACCGGCGAGUUACGAUUUGAUGCAAGGUUAAGCAGUAAAUGUGGAGCCGUAGCGAAAGCGAGUCUGAAUAGGGCGUUUAGUAUUUGGUCGUAGACCCGAAACCAGGUGAUCUACCCUUGGUCAGGUUGAAGUUCAGGUAACACUGAAUGGAGGACCGAACCGACUUACGUUGAAAAGUGAGCGGAUGAACUGAGGGUAGCGGAGAAAUUCCAAUCGAACCUGGAGAUAGCUGGUUCUCUCCGAAAUAGCUUUAGGGCUAGCCUCAAGUGAUGAUUAUUGGAGGUAGAGCACUGUUUGGACGAGGGGCCCCUCUCGGGUUACCGAAUUCAGACAAACUCCGAAUGCCAAUUAAUUUAACUUGGGAGUCAGAACAUGGGUGAUAAGGUCCGUGUUCGAAAGGGAAACAGCCCAGACCACCAGCUAAGGUCCCAAAAUAUAUGUUAAGUGGAAAAGGAUGUGGCGUUGCCCAGACAACUAGGAUGUUGGCUUAGAAGCAGCCAUCAUUUAAAGAGUGCGUAAUAGCUCACUAGUCGAGUGACACUGCGCCGA
Molecule: ribosomal RNA, 582 nt
Filed under: Staphylococcus aureus
Lineage: Bacteria; Bacillati; Bacillota; Bacilli; Caryophanales; Staphylococcaceae
Description: partial 23S ribosomal RNA
Rfam family: Bacterial large subunit ribosomal RNA
Source: RNAcentral